AUUGUAAGAUAUUUAAAGCGUACAUUUUGAUGAUCUGAUAUACAUACAUAUUGUGAAAGGAUUCUUCCCAGUUAGUUAAUUAACUCAUCCAUCACUCCAUCACCUCACAUAUUUAUCUUUUUUUUUGGGUGAGAACAUUUAAGUUCUAUUCUCUUAGCAAAUUUCAUUCAUACAAUACAAUGUUACCAACUACAGUCACCCUGUUUUCCUUUGGAUCCUCAGACCUUGUUCAUCUUGUAGCUGAAAGUUCACAGGCUUUUUGUGAUGGUUAAACCCAAUACUCCACGUGAAUGUGUUCAUUUAGCGCAGAGUGUUUGUUCAAAGCAAAAAAUAAAUGAAAACUUCAAGUGGGUUCAGAAUGGCUGGUGUGGGGAGAGGUAAGGUCUGUGAGGUCACGAAGGAGCACUGACACCACUAUUUGCCAACCACGGGAUGGAAGGUUCUGGAGGCCACAGCCCACUCUGGGCUGUCGUGUAGAAACCUUGCUUCCCUUGGGUGCCCACCCCUUCCCACAUCCCCACCUGCUCUUUCCCUGGAAAGGAGGAAGUGGGUGAAGCGUUGUGGCUUCUUCCUUCCUUCCCCUCUACUGGGAGUGAGCCAGGUAUGGUCAGGGAAGCUGAGCGAAGAGAAGUUGACUGAAGGCUCUUUAUGUCUUUGUUCUUUUUUGAGUCACCAAAAUGGCAUACUUCUUGUUUUGUUUAAAGAUGUUGUCAGAUCUCGAAAGAAGUACACAGGCAUAUUGGGUAAACGAUCCAGUGUAAUCUGGCUUCUAAAAUGAUCUUUGCUGCAUUCUGAAAGAUUUUCUUGGUUCUGGAUUAGAUCGAUGGAACCUGAGUUCGAGCCCUGGUCAACUCUGCCAUUUCCUGUCCAGACUGAUCCCUGGGACCAAGUAUUGGAGAAAAAGGCAAGUCUGCAGUUUACUAAAGCUGUGGACAUCACUUAACAGUUCCGAGGCAGCAGUUCUGAUCAGCAGGAUGGCUCUAAUCUGCAUGAUUUUCCUGGGACCCAAGUUCCUUCCAUCAUGAUGCUUUGCCAUGUUAGGCCACUAACCCUGUAUGCACAGUCAAGGAUUCCAGCCAGUGAGAAAGGGAAAGGACACAGAGGAGCCACGCCCAGGCUCAAGGUCUGGGCACAGAUCACUUCCACUUGAGUCCAUUGGCAAGAACUGAAAUGUCAUAACACCUAACCGCAAGGGAGGCAGGGGACGUGUAGCUCAGCCACGCACCCGGAAAGAAGGAGAGAACGGGUCUGCAGGAGAGCUCAUGGCGUCCAGGGACCCUCCAAGCAAGAGGCAAACCCACCUGGGCAUCUGUCUGCGCACAGUGAGCUGCCAACUAAAUAUGCCUGGGCUAGACUGUUGGAUGAUGAGAGACGCAUGGACCCACCAUCUCCCCAGAUGCCAGCCAGCCAGCUCCCAAAGUAGAGCCCCCUGCUGCCUUGGCAGCUGACUGUGGACGCAUGAGCAAGCCCAGCCAGGACCAGCAGAAUUGCUCAGCUGAUCCCAGUCUAAAUUGCUACCUUAUGGAUUGUGAGCUACAAAUAAACGGUGGUUGUUUUAAGCCGUUAAGUUUUGGGGUAGUUUGUUUCACAACAAAAGCGGAGCGUUACGGGAAGUAACCCAGAGAUUAGCAACAGCAGGGAGUCACUGCUAUGUUAGGCUGUAGAGACAA
Non-coding RNA from Equus caballus (horse), 1670 nucleotides. Lineage: Eukaryota; Metazoa; Chordata; Mammalia; Perissodactyla; Equidae. The record is from RefSeq and is a predicted model, not a curated record.